This 75-nucleotide transfer RNA is filed under the name Candidatus Omnitrophota bacterium. RNAcentral describes it as "Candidatus Omnitrophica bacterium tRNA-Pro". It matches the Rfam family "tRNA". From Rfam's summary of the family: Transfer RNA (tRNA) molecules are approximately 80 nucleotides in length. Their secondary structure includes four short double-helical elements and three loops (D, anti-codon, and T loops). Further hydrogen bonds mediate the characteristic L-shaped molecular structure. tRNAs have two regions of fundamental functional importance: the anti-codon, which is responsible for specific mRNA codon recognition, and the 3' end, to which the tRNAs corresponding amino acid is attached (by aminoacyl-tRNA synthetases). tRNAs cope with the degeneracy of the genetic code in two manners: having more than one tRNA (with a specific anti-codon) for a particular amino acid; and 'wobble' base-pairing, i.e. permitting non-standard base-pairing at the 3rd anti-codon position. Lineage: Bacteria; Pseudomonadati; Candidatus Omnitrophota. The record is from RNAcentral.
CGGGAGGUAGCGCAGUUUGGUCAGCGCGCAACGUUCGGGACGUUGAAGCCGCGGGUUCGAAUCCCGCCCUCCCGA